Molecule: ribosomal RNA, 235 nt
Filed under: uncultured bacterium
Lineage: Bacteria
Description: partial 16S ribosomal RNA
Rfam family: Bacterial small subunit ribosomal RNA
Source: RNAcentral
GAUCAUGGCUCAGGAUGAACGCUAGCGACAGGCCUAACACAUGCAAGUCGAGGGGCAGCGGAGAGGUAGCAAUACCUUUGCCGGCGACCGGCGCACGGGUGAGUAACACGUAUGCAAUCCACCUGUAACAGGGGGAUAACCCGGAGAAAUCCGGACUAAUACCCCAUAAUAUGGGCGCUCCGCAUGGAGAGCCCAUUAAAAGAGAGCAAUUUUGGUUACAGACGGAGCAUGCGCU